Molecule: ribosomal RNA, 433 nt
Filed under: uncultured Lachnospiraceae bacterium
Lineage: Bacteria; Bacillati; Bacillota; Clostridia; Lachnospirales; Lachnospiraceae
Description: partial 16S ribosomal RNA
Rfam family: Bacterial small subunit ribosomal RNA
Source: RNAcentral
ACGGAAGGCAGCAGUGGGGAAUAUUGGACAAUGGGGGAAACCCUGAUCCAGCGACGCCGCGUGAGUGAAGAAGUAUUUCGGUAUGUAAAGCUCUAUCAGCAAGGAAGAAAAUGACGGUACUUGACUAAGAAGCUCCGGCUAAAUACGUGCCAGCAGCCGCGGUAAUACGUAUGGAGCAAGCGUUAUCCGGAUUUACUGGGUGUAAAGGGAGCGUAGACGGCAAAGCAAGUCUGAGUGAAAUCCCGGGGCUCAACCCCGGAACUGCUUUGGAAACUGUUUAGCUAGAGUGCGGGAGAGGUAAGCGGAAUUCCUAGUGUAGCGGUGAAAUGCGUAGAUAUUAGGAGGAACACCAGUGGCGAAGGCGGCUUACUGGACUGUAACUGACGUUGAGGCUCGAAAGCGUGGGGAGCAAACAGGAUUAGAUACCCUGGUA